Molecule: ribosomal RNA, 348 nt
Filed under: Gyna cf. maculipennis MNHN BL340
Lineage: Eukaryota; Metazoa; Arthropoda; Insecta; Blattodea; Blaberidae
Description: partial 12S ribosomal RNA
Source: RNAcentral
UUUUUAAUUAAAUUGAUUUAACUUGAGUAGUAGUAGUUAUGGUCUUGAAACUUAAAGAAUUUGGCGGUGUCUUAGUCUAUUUAGAGGAAUCUGUCCCGUAAUCGAUAAUCCACGUGGGACCUUACUUGAUUUAAUAGUAUGUAUACCGCCGUUUAUUGAAGAUCUUUUUAGAGUAUUUUCUAAAUAUUAUAUUGGAUGGAAUUUCAGGUCAAGGUGCAGUUUAUAAUUAAGAGGAGAUGGAUUACAAUAUGUAAAGUAUAUGGAUUGUAAAUUGGAAGAUUUAUAUUAAGGUGGAUUUAAUAGUAAUUAUUUGUAGAUUGUUAUUGUGAUUUUAGCUCUAAGGCGUGC